AUUGAACGCUGGCGGCAGGCCUAACACAUGCAAGUCGAGCGGAAACGAAGGGAGCUUGCUCCCAGGCGUCGAGCGGCGGACGGGUGAGUAACACGUGAGAAUCUGCCCAUUAGUGGGGGACAACUCGGGGGAACUCGAGCUAAUACCGCAUAAUCCCUACGGGGGAAAGCAGGGGACCUUUUGGCCUUGCGCUGAUGGAUGUGCUCAAGUCGGAUUAGCUUGUUGGUGAGGUAAAGGCUCACCAAGGCGACGAUCCGUAGCUGGUCUGAGAGGAUGAUCAGCCACACUGGGACUGAGACACGGCCCAGACUCCUACGGGAGGCAGCAGUGGGGAAUCUUGGACAAUGGGGGCAACCCUGAUCCAGCCAUGCCGCGUGUGUGAAGAAGGCCUUCGGGUUGUAAAGCACUUUCAGCAGGGAGGAAGGCUUUGGCCGAAUAGGUUGAAGUACUUGACGUUACCUGCAGAAGAAGCACCGGCUAAUUUCGUGCCAGCCGCCGCAGUAA
RNAcentral lists this ribosomal RNA (504 nucleotides) under uncultured bacterium. Its description in RNAcentral is "partial 16S ribosomal RNA". It matches the Rfam family "Bacterial small subunit ribosomal RNA", at positions 30 to 523 of the family's 1533-position model. The record is from RNAcentral.